CCCCCGAGUUGGUCACGACUGGACCUAAUGGUCAGGGGUCCCUUUACCUUUACCUAACCCUAUGCAUAUCUAUCCAGACUACGUCCCACUGCGUUCAAUGUGGCUUACUCCCAGAUAAAACUGCACAGGACUGCAGCCAUGAGGGUUUGUGUUAUAUUUGUUUUUAUAUCAAGCCAAAGAAUCCGGCAACUGAGCAAAUAUUCUCUUUUUCCCCUAGGGUCCAAGGCAAGCAGCAAGAACAAGACAUUCGUCGAGCCUUUAGGAAGUGGUGAGAAGUGGAGGCUGGUCCAUUAGGACCCCACAAAUCUCAGCCUGCCUUUAGCCCUUCUUUCCAAUGUGGGAAGAAAGAAGAAGGAUUGCUUGUGACAUGUUGAAGAAAUUUUUCACUGUAGUAUAUGCAGAUGAAAUGUGAUGCGGAGGAGCGGAAGAGGAAGAUGUGAAAGAACAAUGCAUAGCUUUCUUUUCAUCAGUUCCCAUGGCUGACCUCAAAAAUAGCAGAGCACUAAGCUCUUUGAGACAUGCAUUUAAUCCACCACAUUAUAAUUACUUCUGUCUUAUCUGGCUUAGGUGUUCCUUUCUGUGAUUCACAUCUUUUUUUCUUUCUAAUUUGCUUCUGACCUUCUAUAUGAAUAUGACUAUGUUCCUUACUUUAUAUUACUCAAGCAGAUUGUUGUGUAUUUCUUGACUCCAUCUACAGUUUUGUUCAUGCAAUAACUAUGAAUAAUGUAUAUUCAUGAAGCCAAUGUUGUAAAUACCUUUGUAGCGAAAAAUUACAGAGAAAAUGUGUAAUUUACCUUCCAUCCUAAAAGUCUUUGAAACAGAAGGAAAUGACUGUGCUUUUUCAAUUCCAUUUCCAUAAGCAGAAAAAAUAUCAUUUACACUAAGCAGAUUAAAAUCUGAAUCUUGA
Molecule: non-coding RNA, 907 nt
Organism: Podarcis muralis (Common wall lizard)
Lineage: Eukaryota; Metazoa; Chordata; Lepidosauria; Squamata; Lacertidae
Source: RefSeq, a predicted model, not a curated record